This 1213-nucleotide ribosomal RNA is filed under the name Leuconostoc lactis. Its description in RNAcentral is "bacterial SSU rRNA". It matches the Rfam family "Bacterial small subunit ribosomal RNA", at positions 262 to 1478 of the family's 1533-position model. Lineage: Bacteria; Bacillati; Bacillota; Bacilli; Lactobacillales; Lactobacillaceae. The record is from RNAcentral.
AGCCACCCCAGACAUUGAUUGGCCAUAGGCCGAGUCAGAGACUGAUCGGUCACAUGACUGAAGACCGUCCACUCUACGGGAGGCUGCAGUAAGGAUCUCACAAAUGGGCGAAGCCUGAUUGAGCACGCCGCGUGUGUGAUGAAGGCUUUAGGGUCGUAAAGCACUGUGUAUGGGAAAGAAAUGCUAGAAUAGGGAAUGAUUCUAGUUCGACGGUACCAUACCAGAAAGGGACGGCUAAAUACGUGCCAGCAGCCGCGGUAAUACGUAUGUCCCGAGCGUUAUCCGGAUUUAUUGGGCGUAAAGCGAGCGCAGACGGUUGAUUAAGUCUGAUGUGAAAGCCCGGAGCUCAACUCCGGAAUGGCAUUGGAAACUGGUUAACUUGAGUGUUGUAGAGGUAAGUGGAACUCCAUGUGUAGCGGUGGAAUGCGUAGAUAUAUGGAAGAACACCAGUGGCGAAGGCGGCUUACUGGACAACAACUGACGUUGAGGCUCGAAAGUGUGGGUAGCAAACAGGAUUAGAUACCCUGGUAGUCCACACCGUAAACGAUGAAUACUAGGUGUUAGGAGGUUUCCGCCUCUUAGUGCCGAAGCUAACGCAUUAAGUAUUCCGCCUGGGGAGUACGACCGCAAGGUUGAAACUCAAAGGAAUUGACGGGGACCCGCACAAGCGGUGGAGCAUGUGGUUUAAUUCGAAGCAACGCGAAGAACCUUACCAGGUCUUGACAUCCUUUGAAGCUUUUAGAGAUAGAAGUGUUCUCUUCGGAGACAAAGUGACAGGUGGUGCAUGGUCGUCGUCAGCUCGUGUCGUGAGAUGUUGGGUUAAGUCCCGCAACGAGCGCAACCCUUAUUGUUAGUUGCCAGCAUUCAGUUGGGCACUCUAGCGAGACUGCCGGUGACAAACCGGAGGAAGGCGGGGACGACGUCAGAUCAUCAUGCCCCUUAUGACCUGGGCUACACACGUGCUACAAUGGCGUAUACAACGAGUUGCCAACCCGCGAGGGUGAGCUAAUCUCUUAAAGUACGUCUCAGUUCGGACUGCAGUCUGCAACUCGACUGCACGAAGUCGGAAUCGCUAGUAAUCGCGGAUCAGCACGCCGCGGUGAAUACGUUCCCGGGUCUUGUACACACCGCCCGUCACACCAUGGGAGUUUGUAAUGCCCAAAGCCGGUGGCCUAACCUUCGGGAGGAGCCGUCUAAGGCAGAAAAAGUGUGG